CUCUGCUGCUGUGCAGAGCUGGGAGGGUAUAUAAAGACAGCACAGCUUUAGUCAUCGAUUGUCAUUCGGUUGGAGUGAAAGACUGAUUGACUGCAUUUGAAUUUUCAGGAUUUGCCCGGUUGGUGAAGGAAGAAAACGGAGAUGAAAAACCUCGUGCCCUCGAUUCUCAUCCUGUCUGCCGUGAUCUUGCUGGAGUUUCCACAGGUUAGAUUUCCUUUUCUAUGUUCAUUUCUGGAUUGGCCUCUUAGUCUUUCAUAAUUAAGCUGACUGAUAAUUUACGAAAGGAUACAGGCUGCCUACAGAAAUAUUUGACAUUAGAAAAUUAUUCAGUAACGUCAACCAAUCUGCUUCCUGCUUUAGCAGGCUGUAAUUAAGCAAUAUGGCACAACUGGGUGUGUGUUGAUGUGGGAUAUCAGCACAGCUCGGGUGCUUUCAACCACCCGAGAAGUGGCUAUAUCCCACAACAACACACACCCUGUCGUGCCAUAUUGCGAUUAUACAAUGGCUAUGAAUGAAUUUUGAAUGAAAAAAGACCAAAAGUAAGUUUUAAAAGAUAUUUAAUGAAAAUGUCUGUGAUAACCUGGAUGACCGUGGUGAUAUCGGGUUUGUGACUAGAUAUCUCCACGGGUCUGACGUCACAAACCCAUUGAAAUGAAUAGGAUGGCGGUCCUUGCCAAUGUAUUAAUAGACAGUAGAUGCCUGCUGGAACAUCUCAGCACCAACUGUGAAUUAAGUUUAAAAUCAAUCUGCACAAGUGCCGGCUGUUUCAUUUUGACAUGCCGUAUUGAAACCUCAGUUCAAGUCUAUUGGACAGCAAACACUAAACAAAGACACAAUUGGUCGAACUGGAAGUCAUGAAAAUGAAAAAUGUAAUAACUGUGGGGAGCAAGAAAGUGUAGAACAUAUACUCAUGGCAUGCAAUAAACUAGCCUCAUGGCACCAAAACUAGCCAAUCAAUACUUUGCACAGACGAAAGCAACCAAUCCUGUACCCGCAGCUGCCAAGCCAGCCAAUCACAGCCCUGUCAGCUGGGCUGGUGCACAGACAUCAAGCAAUUUUCAACAGCAGACACGGAAAGUUGAAUAAUAGUGCCCUCUCGAUGCUGGCUCUACUGUGUGAUAGCUGACCUUGACUUUCGUUAGCGCACUCGCCUUCGGCUCAUCGUGGUCAACUAUCACACGGUAGAGCCAUGAUUGAUGGGCAGUAUCGCUUAAUCAACCCCUCACCCCACAUAGUGACUGUACAGUAUAUUAAGAAUGUAAGCAUGCAUUUAUUCCUUUUAAAUUAUUUUAUACAUUUAUACAGAACUGGAAGUCAUGAGAAUGAAAAAUGUAAUAACUGUGGGGAGCAAGAAACUGUAGAACAUAUACUCAUGGCAUGCAAUACAUACAAUCAGUAAAGAAGCUUAUUAAAUAAGAAGGGACAUAGAAAUUAUAGCAGCAUCAGUAAAUUAUAUUUUAAAAGUAGAAAGAGAAAAACAAAUAGAGAAAGGAAACUAUUUAAGUUUAUAAAAAGUACAGGGAAAUGGGAGAAGAUAUAAUGGAAAAAAUAAAAAAUAUAUAUUUAUAAAGAUAGAGGGUGCUCAUCAUCUCUACUUAGAUGGCAUGCACCAACUACCACUAAAAAGAAGACUCCCAUCUCCUGCACGACUUUGAUUCAGUUAGUAGUCCUCUUGAUGCAAUGAAAAGAGCAUUAGGAACUUCUUCUGUUACGAACUACUUCUUUAAGAAGGCAAAAAAUGCUGAGAAAGACGACAGCAACAGAGCAUCGACUUGGACUGUGGACACAGACACAAACGAAGCACUUCCCAGGAUAGCAUACAGAGAACCGCAGAGCUGACUUCAAAAGAAGAUGAGUCUGCUUCUGAUCCAGAAUUACCUAUUCUAUUACCUAUUAGGCUAUGUGUUACUAGAAGUUCAGUAUACAAAUACAAUGGCAAUUCAUAUAAUAAUUCUUAUUUAAGAAAAUCAAUAUUUUAAUGGCGUUACGGACUGCACCACUGCUUAUCACAUUUCUCUAGAUUACAAUAUGUGUCAAUCACGUGCUAUGUAUGUUAUAAACAAAUUGUGUUUCUUCUAGUUAUGUCUUAUAUCGUUCUUUUUUUCAGAUACAAUGUUUUAAGGCUCUGAUAACGAUGGACCUCGCAGAAAAUUCCCUCGAUGAUCAAUAUGUCCGUUGCGAAAGAAAAAUGUUAAAAGAAUGUUAAGGAAAAAUAUCUUCCAUCAGAAUUACAAAACACCCCCAAUUUUAAAAACGUCUGGGAAACAGCAAAAAAGUCAAUGGUGAAGAAAAGAGGAUGUCGUUGAAUUUGAACAAGCCACGGCAAUCUAUGCUUAUACUAUGGACGUUUACAACACGUUCAAUGAAGAAGUUAGAAAAGGAGGAAAACAUUACGAAGCUUUUCCGUUCAAGUCGUUGCAUUUUUAUUUGACAGACGCCCUGAAAACUCUGAGGUCCAAGAAGGGUAAAUGUUAUGAUGUUUUUAGAGGGGUUCAAGGCCAGUUUACCGCUCUUGAAGGUACAACUGUACGAUUUGGUCAGUUUGCUUCUACCUCUCUAGACAAAAAUGUAGCAAAACAGUUUGGAAAUGGAACUUUGUUCAUAAUACACACCUGCCUCGGCGUGCCAAUUGAAGAAUAUUCAGAUAACCAAAGUGAAAAAGAGGUACUUAUUCCACCUUUUGAAAAAUUUAAAGUUCUGAAAGUCGAUGGAAAUCAAAUCCACCUGGCACGUAUUGCUAACAAGACGAGUAAUUUCAACUGCUUGGGAGUGCCGAAAAAAUGCUCCUGUCGUGAAGGAUUAUGUUGCAUUAGUUAACAAGUCUCCCUGAAGAUGCAAAACUCAACGCUGGGAAAAUGCUGGGUGUCUAAUCAAUUGUUCUAUAUUAUUUUUAGUAUAGACCAGUGUACCUUCCUUGAGAAUUAUAUUCUCUCACUCACAUUGUACAUUCGUUUGAGGCUGCUUUAAUUAGGUAUCUUAUACAACCUCUAAAAAGCCUCCUUCAUUUUACCAUUUGUGGCUGUGUGUUCUUUUUCUCUACCUAUUUGAAAUGAAUUGCAUGUGUGGAAUAUUAAAGUCAUCAAUAUAAUUAGACAGGCAAUGACUUGCCUGUUUUGACAAUUUUCCAGGGCUUUCAGUUCCAGUGGUUUGAUUUCAUAUGCACAACAAAUCAAAACUACAAA
Acipenser ruthenus (sterlet) is the source of this 3182-nucleotide long non-coding RNA. RefSeq lists it as uncharacterized. The record is from RefSeq and is a predicted model, not a curated record. NCBI's taxonomy places the organism in Eukaryota, Metazoa, Chordata, Actinopteri, Acipenseriformes, Acipenseridae. The transcript has 3 exons.